GUCUAUGGCCAUUCUACCCUGAACAAGCCUGAUCCUGUCUGAUUUCUGAAGCUAAGCAGGGUCGAGCCUGGUUAGUACUUGGAUGGGAGACCACUGAGCGAGACUAGGUGCUGUAGGCA
Molecule: ribosomal RNA, 119 nt
Filed under: Pteropus alecto (black flying fox)
Lineage: Eukaryota; Metazoa; Chordata; Mammalia; Chiroptera; Pteropodidae
Source: RNAcentral